CUCAACUGAGGAAAGUCCGUCGAAACUGUUAGACUAGAGGAACACAGAGGGAGGCGGAACUCUCGGAGUAGCGGUGAAAUGCGUAGAUACCGAGAGGUACCCCGAUGGCGAAGGCAGCCUCCUGGGUGUUACCUGACGCUGAAGCGCUAAGGCCAGGGGAGCGAAGGGGAUUAGAUACCCCCGUAGUCCUGGCUGCAAACGAUGUGGGCUAGGUAUCGGACCCAAAGAGAGGUUCGUUGCCGUAGCUAACGCGUUAAGCCCACCGCCUGGGGAUUACGUCCGCAAGGAUGAAACUCAAGGGAAUUGACGGGGGCCCACACAACCGGUGGAGCACGUGGUUUAAUUCGAUGAUAAGCGAAGAACCUUACCAGGGCUUGACCUAGCGGUAGUAGGACCCCGAAAGGGGAACGAUCCUGAACUCAGUUCAGGAAGCCGUGGCAGGUGGUGCAUGGCUGUCGUCAGCUCGUGUCGUGGGACGUUGGGUUAAGUCCCGUAACGAGCGCAACCCCUGCUCUUAGUUGCCAGCGGUACGGCCGGGGACUCUAAGAGGACUGCCGGAGAAUAUCCGGAGGAAGGUGGGGAUGACGUCAAAUCAGCACGGCCCUUACGCCCAGGGCUACACACGUGUUACAAUGGCCGGAACAAAGAGCAGCUACCACGCGAGUGGAUGCUAAUCUCCAAAACCGGUCACAGUUCGGAUCG
Molecule: ribosomal RNA, 702 nt
Filed under: uncultured bacterium
Lineage: Bacteria
Description: bacterial SSU rRNA
Rfam family: Bacterial small subunit ribosomal RNA
Source: RNAcentral